Molecule: ribosomal RNA, 858 nt
Filed under: uncultured bacterium
Lineage: Bacteria
Description: bacterial SSU rRNA
Rfam family: Bacterial small subunit ribosomal RNA
Source: RNAcentral
GGAGCUUGCUCCGCUGACGAGUGGCGAACGGGUGAGUAAUAUAUCGGAACGUACCCAAGAGUGGGGGAUAACGUAGCGAAAGUUACGCUAAUACCGCAUACGAUCUAAGGAUGAAAGCAGGGGACCUUCGGGCCUUGUGCUCCUGGAGCGGCCGAUAUCUGAUUAGCUAGUUGGUGAGGUAAAGGCUCACCAAGGCGACGAUCAGUAGCUGGUCUGAGAGGACGACCAGCCACACUGGAACUGAGACACGGUCCAGACUCCUACGGGAGGCAGCAGUGGGGAAUUUUGGACAAUGGGCGCAAGCCUGAUCCAGCAAUGCCGCGUGAGUGAAGAAGGCCUUCGGGUUGUAAAGCUCUUUUGUCAGGGAAGAAACGGCUGUGGCUAAUAUCCACGGCUAAUGACGGUACCUGAAGAAUAAGCACCGGCUAACUACGUGCCAGCAGCCGCGGUAAUACGUAGGGUGCAAGCGUUAAUCGGAAUUACUGGGCGUAAAGCGUGCGCAGGCGGUUUUGUAAGUCUGUCGUGAAAUCCCCGGGCUCAACCUGGGAAUUGCGAUGGAGACUGCAAGGCUAGAAUCUGGCAGAGGGGGGUAGAAUUCCACGUGUAGCAGUGAAAUGCGUAGAGAUGUGGAGGAACACCGAUGGCGAAGGCAGCCCCCUGGGUCAAGAUUGACGCUCAUGCACGAAAGCGUGGGGAGCAAACAGGAUUAGAUACCCUGGUAGUCCACGCCCUAAACGAUGUCUACUAGUUGUCGAGUUUUAAUUAACUUGGUAACGCAGCUAACGCGUGAAGUAGACCGCCUGGGGAGUACGGUCGCAAGGUUAAAACUCAAAGGAAUUGACGGGGACCCGCACAAGC